RNAcentral lists this ribosomal RNA (163 nucleotides) under Combretum apiculatum subsp. leutweinii. Its description in RNAcentral is "5.8S ribosomal RNA". It matches the Rfam family "5.8S ribosomal RNA". From Rfam's summary of the family: 5.8S ribosomal RNA (5.8S rRNA) is a component of the large subunit of the eukaryotic ribosome. It is transcribed by RNA polymerase I as part of the 45S precursor that also contains 18S and 28S rRNA. Lineage: Eukaryota; Viridiplantae; Streptophyta; Magnoliopsida; Myrtales; Combretaceae. The record is from RNAcentral.
UAACGACUCUCGGCAACGGAUAUCUCGGCUCUCGCAUCGAUGAAGAACGUAGCGAAAUGCGAUACUUGGUGUGAAUUGCAGAAUCCCGUGAACCAUCGAGUCUUUGAACGCAAGUUGCGCCCGAAGCCUCGGCUGAGAGCACGCCUGCCUGGGUGUCACACGU